CUCCGUCGUCCUCGGGACGUUAAGGUGCUCUGGUCGAGGAUAAACGACCCCUCUGACCGAGGCUAAUCCGUCGCGCCUUUCCGUGUUACCGUCCGCGGCACACGUUAAAGAUCGUUCCGCGUUGUGAGUCUUUCUGGUUGUAAAAAACACUUUACAACCGGUAGCGCUGGAUCCCUUGGCACGUCAUUCGAUGAAGACCGUUGCAAAUUGCGAUAAAGUGAUGUGAUGCGCAAGUCCACCACUUAUACGUGAAUCAUCGAGUUGUUGAACGCAUUGCACCGCGCCCUAAACCGGCUGCGGUAUGCCCCUUUGAGCGUCAUUACAUCCUUCGGGAGUCUCCUUUGCUGGAGACCCGAGUUCGGAGUCCUCGGUCCUUUGGGAUCGUGUUCUCUCAGAUGCAUCGCGCCGAUCGCUUUGAUGGGUAACUCUAAUGCCUGAGCGUGGAGUCCCUCUGAAGCCGAGACGUGCUUGACCGGGUGUUGAGCCUGUGUCGCCAAGUCCGCUGUCGCUCGCGACGUCGGUACUACAACCUCAUGACCUCAUUGGGGUAGGACAACCCGCUAGACUUAAGCAUAUUAAUCAGCGGAGGAAAAGAAACUAACUAGGAUUCCCUCAGUAACUGCGAGUGAAGCGGGAUCGGCUCAAUGUGUGAAUCUGGCCCGGGGUAAAUCUCGAGUCCGAGUUGUGCACUAUGGACGUUUCGUCUGCGUUUGUAAAGGCGGUGGAAGUCCGUUGAAACACGGCACCUCAGAGGGUCACAGUCCUGUACCACCUGUCUGCACUCGCGCCAAUGACAAGCGCUCCUCGAGUCGCGUAGUUUUGUAUUGCUGCGCCAAGUGGGAGGUAGAGACCUUCUAAGGCUAAAUAUGAUGACGUGACCGAUAGCACACAAGUACCGCGAGGGAAAGGUGAAAAGCAACCAUGAAAAAUGGGUUGAAACAGUAGUGAAAGCGCUACCGGGAUAAGGGCUAUCGGGUGCUGGGGCUCUUUGGGUGUGCUUCAGUGCUACCCUUUGAGACGGCCCACGUGGGUUGAUUUGGGGCG
RNAcentral lists this ribosomal RNA (1044 nucleotides) under uncultured Tulasnellaceae. RNAcentral describes it as "eukaryotic LSU rRNA". The stretch from base 535 to 1044 matches the Rfam family "Eukaryotic large subunit ribosomal RNA", at positions 1 to 514 of the family's 3401-position model. Lineage: Eukaryota; Fungi; Basidiomycota; Agaricomycetes; Cantharellales; Tulasnellaceae. The record is from RNAcentral.